UGACAAAAUGACAUGUAUUGUGUUUAAUUAAAAGUAAGUCAUCUUUUGCAGGGGCUUUCAGGUCGGUUACCUUUUGUUGAGUUUAGAGCAGUGCUGUAUUAUGCCAUAACUUCUGAAGUGUCUUUUUCCUUUGAAAGUAGUGAAAAAGAGUAAAACAUAACUUUUUUUUUUUCUUUUUUAGCACAUGGAUUAAUUGAUGGACCUUGGGUUUAUGGAGCUACCUUUUCAUGACCUGCUUUUCCUACAGUUUCUAAGAAGAAAAGGGGGCCUCUGAAUCAAAGAAGAUGCCUCGAACUAAACAGAUUCAUCCCAGAAAUCUAAGAGACAAAAUUGAAGAAGCACAAAAAGAACUAAAUGGGGCAGAAGUGUCAAAAAAAGAUGUGUUUUGUUGGGCUGUGCUAUAUGUACGAAGAAUAUCAAUUUUUAAGGAUGAUGAUUUAGAAUUCUGCACCAACCACCAAGCUUGGGAUACUGUAGUAGCUAUUUCAUUCAAGAAGAGAUUUGGAAAAAGAAAAUGAGACUCUGUGGGUGAGUGAGAAAAGGCCGGAAGGGGACUGAGCAAAACUUAAACGAGAGCAAACGUAUAUAGUACCAUAUGCGCCUAGCUGGAUGUUCAGUGAGUGAGGACGUGCUUUGGCAGAUGGCGUUGGGAGUGCGGCUCUGCACCAGAACGCGGAGGCCCCUAUGUGGGCUCCUUUCCGGAAGCCCACCACAUAGCACCGAGUGACCCACUUAGUAACUGGUAACAGAACCCUUCCACAGCUACCUGUGUCUCUUCAGUGUGAAGACAGCUCCUAACAGCCGACGAGAUCUCAGCCCGUUAAGCUCUUUGCCUCACCCCUGCCACACGGAUGAGCCUCCGGUUCCCUUUUGCCCAAGAUCAUACACUGGCACCUCCUGCGGUUCCUGGUGUGUAUAGUAGGCACUGGGCAAAUAUUUAUUUGGCUGUUCUGAGCACCCAGGCUGGCCUGUAAUAUUAAAUCUGUUUUGUGACUUAAUUGGUAGUGUUUCCUUAUAUUUAAUAUGAAACGUUACUAUAUGAAAGUCAAGCGUUUGUGAGGGAAGAAGAGCAUGUCUAUGUCUUCAGGAGAUGUACUGUUAUUUUCUUUGCUAAUUAGAGACCUGUUCAAGUUUGUGCCUUCUUGGGUUGAUUGUAUUUAUAACUUCUUAUAUUCUGUAUGUUAUACAAGUAUCCAAAUAUUUUAAGAUAGAGUAUAACCUUCUCUCAUAAGUUUAAAUAAUUUUUAUUGUUGCUG
This 1256-nucleotide long non-coding RNA is filed under the name Bos mutus (wild yak). RNAcentral's name for it is "lncRNA (ENSBMUG00000002674.1)". The record is from RNAcentral. Lineage: Eukaryota; Metazoa; Chordata; Mammalia; Artiodactyla; Bovidae.